This 490-nucleotide ribosomal RNA is filed under the name uncultured bacterium. RNAcentral's name for it is "partial 16S ribosomal RNA". It matches the Rfam family "Bacterial small subunit ribosomal RNA", at positions 30 to 507 of the family's 1533-position model. The record is from RNAcentral.
AUUGAACGCUGGCGGCAUGCUUUACACAUGCAAGUCGGACGGCAGCGGGGUAGUGCUUGCACUACUGCCGGCGAGUGGCGAACGGGUGAGUAAUAUAUUGGAACGUACCGAGUAAUGGGGGAUAACCAAUCGAAAGAUUGGCUAAUACCGCAUACGCUCUGAGGAGGAAAGCAGGGGACCUUCGGGCCUUGCGUUAUUCGAGCGGCCAAUAUCUGAUUAGCUAGUUGGUGGGGUAAGGGCCUACCAAGGCGACGAUCAGUAGCGGGUCUGAGAGGAUGAUCCGCCACACUGGGACUGAGACACGGCCCAGACUCCUACGGGAGGCAGCAGUGGGGAAUUUUGGACAAAGGGCGCAAGCCUGAUCCAGCCAUGCCGCGUGUCUGAAGAAGGCCUUCGGGUUGUAAAGGACUUUUGUUAGGGAAGAAAAAGGAGCGGUUAAUACCCGUUUCUGCUGACGGUACCUAAAGAAUAAGCACCGGCUAACUACGUG